UGACAUCCCAAGAUGUAAAACAUAUAUCUUAUGGAAACAAAACAUAAGAUAUAUUAUUUAGGGCAGCAGAAACAGAAACAUGACCAAAUUUUCUUAGCCAUCAUCGAUGAAACGUGCUUUCUCUUCUUCGGAAUAAUGGUGCUCGGACUCUCCGAUUUGGAUUCAGAUGCUUCCUCUUUCUCCUCCAUCUCUACAUUGUUAGUUUUCAAGAUCAAUUCCUCUGCCAUCUUCAACAAUUUUUUUU
RNAcentral lists this long non-coding RNA (244 nucleotides) under Solanum tuberosum (potato). Its description in RNAcentral is "long non-coding RNA (STUB_LNC007547)". Lineage: Eukaryota; Viridiplantae; Streptophyta; Magnoliopsida; Solanales; Solanaceae. The record is from RNAcentral.